This 410-nucleotide ribosomal RNA is filed under the name uncultured bacterium. RNAcentral's name for it is "bacterial SSU rRNA". It matches the Rfam family "Bacterial small subunit ribosomal RNA", at positions 64 to 507 of the family's 1533-position model. The record is from RNAcentral.
GAACGUCCUCUUUCUUUUCGGAGGAAGAGGGAGCGGCAGACGGGUGAGUAACGCGUGGGAACAUACCUUUUGGUUCGGAACAACCCCAGGGAAACUUGGGCUAAUACCGGAUAAGCCCUUACGGGGAAAGAUUUAUCGCCGAAAGAUUGGCCCGCGUCUGAUUAGCUAGUUGGUGAGGUAAUGGCUCACCAAGGCGACGAUCAGUAGCUGGUCUGAGAGGAUGAUCAGCCACAUUGGGACUGAGACACGGCCCAAACUCCUACGGGGGGCAGCAGUGGGGAAUAUUGGACAAUGGGCGCAAGCCUGAUCCAGCCAUGCCGCGUGAGUGAUGAAGGCCCUAGGGUUGUAAAGCUCUUUUGUGCGGGAAGAUAAUGACGGUACCGCAAGAAUAAGCCCCGGCUAACUUCGUG